Molecule: small nucleolar RNA, 128 nt
Filed under: Tribolium castaneum (red flour beetle)
Lineage: Eukaryota; Metazoa; Arthropoda; Insecta; Coleoptera; Tenebrionidae
Description: small nucleolar RNA psi18S-1377
Rfam family: Small nucleolar RNA psi18S-1377
About the family: psi18S-1377 is a member of the H/ACA class of snoRNA. This family is responsible for guiding the modification of uridines 1377 and 1279 to pseudouridine in Drosophila 18S rRNA.
Source: Rfam by way of RNAcentral
UCGUCUCUGUGUUACUUGAAUAACAAAAUCGAUUUGUAUUCGAGCGUCAAAAGAGACGAAAAUUAAUUCUUGUUUUUCCACAAGUUAAUGUGUUGGCAUAUUUAACUUACUAAAAGCAAGAAACAUUG